Molecule: transfer RNA, 65 nt
Filed under: Bactrocera moluccensis
Lineage: Eukaryota; Metazoa; Arthropoda; Insecta; Diptera; Tephritidae
Description: tRNA-Tyr
Rfam family: tRNA
About the family: Transfer RNA (tRNA) molecules are approximately 80 nucleotides in length.
Source: RNAcentral
UUAAAUGGCUGAAGUUUAGGCGAUAGACUGUAAAUCUAUUUAUGAGAAUUUAUUCUUUUUAAUCA